AAAUCCCUAAAAUAUUCGCCAAGUUCCCUAUUGGCGCCCGACAGUCAAGGUCUAGCUGUUGGACCUCCUGUUGACCAUCAACGGAACUAUCAUUGAGGACUAUGACUUUGCCGUUAAGCUGUUUAUUGCCAUUGAAAGGACAAGGACUCG
This is a long non-coding RNA of Brienomyrus brachyistius, 150 nucleotides long. RefSeq lists it as uncharacterized. The transcript is spliced from 3 exons. NCBI's taxonomy places the organism in Eukaryota, Metazoa, Chordata, Actinopteri, Osteoglossiformes, Mormyridae. The record is from RefSeq and is a predicted model, not a curated record.